CAAAGUUCACUACUGAGUUAAUUCAGCAACAACUGGAUCUAGGCAUUCAUGCUAAUGUUCCAACAAUUACUUUUGCAUUAUUUAGAGGCUAGGUUGUGGGAAAGGGAGGACCAGGGCAGGAAGACAGGUGGAGAAGAGGCAAGGAACUAACAAUGUGACCACAUUUUGUGUCUUAUGAGAAUAUAGGACUGUGAAUUUUAGAAAUAUUAUCUCAGUUAAUUCUCUUAAGACUUUUAUGAGGCCCUGAGGAAUGCCCUAAAAUGAAGCAAGGCGAUCUGUUGAUCUUAAAGCUAAAUUCUGAGUGAAAACAAAAGAAAAUCCUAGCAGUAUCCUGAGAUCGUUAAGGAUGCACAUAAAAAGCUGGGAUUUGAACACAGGGGGCUCUACAUACCAGGAAAGAACUUUACCACUGAGCUACAUCCUCAGGCCCUUCUUUGGUUCUUGAAGAAGCCUUCCUAGCCUGUCCUAGUGGUGAUGUUUAAGUCAAUUCUUAAUGGAGCCUGGCCUAAAGUCUUUGGAGUCCGUCCAUUUAGGAUACAAUGGUGUUCAUGGAUGAGCAGAAUGGAAUUUUUUCUAACUUGAAAACUAAAAAGAAAAAGCAUUUUUGAACACUUUUUUCCCCUUUUGUUCUCUUCAAUUCUGCUCCUUUUUUCGGAACUUUGGAACAGCUUUACUUGAUUAUACCUUGAAUCUGUGAAAGUCAUUUAGAUGAAAACCAAGUGUAACCAGAAAUAUGUAAGCUUUUAGGAUUGUAAUCAUUUUAUGUGGAUGUUUAAAGACAAACUGUGAGGUCUUUUUACCUACUACUAAAGAUAUAUGGAAAUAUACAUGCUCUUUACCUUAAGAUAGGGUUACAUUCUAAUACACCUAUCACGAUUCCAAAAUACCAUAAAUCAAAAAUGCAUUUAAUACAUCUAACAAACUGAACAUCUUCACUUAGCCACACUGUACACUGUAGAGCAUCUCUGUUCACUCUCAUGAUCAUGUGGUUGACUGUGAGCUGUGCCUCACUGUUGCUUAGCAUGGCAAGAGAAGAUCAUACCAUAUACCAUUAGCCUAUGAAGACCAAAAUUCAAAACUCAUAUUACACUUUCUGCUGAAUACAUACAGCCUUUGCAUCACUGUAAAGUUAAAAAGUUGUAACUGAAGCCUUCAUAAACACAAGCACCAUCAGUAGUUAAAAUGAUUGAAAUUGAACACUUCCUGAACAGUUCUAAUUUUCCACAUUUUUAAACAUAUUUUUUAUUGAAUGGCAAUUUUAUUUCUAGGUACAAAAGAUGCAUAUAUUAAUCACUUUUCUACCCUAAAAUGUGAGGAACUAGUCCUAGUUUUACCCAAUACUUUCCUAAACACAUUUAAUUGGAUUUGGAAACAGAAACGUAUGAAGAAAAAAAAAAAGAAUAUCCCUUUGUGAAUGUAAGGAAAGGAAUAUGGGAGCAUUUAAAGUUAUUUUUAAAAAAUAAUGAUGGAGAUCAUUGGACAUACUUGAAAUCUUUGUAAAAAUAUAGCUGUGUAGUACAAUUUUACCUCACACUCACAUGGCAUGAGACAUAUUCCUCAGGUGGCUCUCAGCAGGUACCAGGCAGCCUGAGGUGGGUGAUUAUAGAAUCAGCUGCAGUUCCACCAGAGUGCUAAGUUCAGGGCUCCUUCAGGAAAUCUGAGAUAUCCAGGAACAUAGGUAUUCCUGUAUUCCACCAAGUGGAAUCUUGGGAGAAAACUUUCAAAAACAUCAACAGCAAUGUCCUAGGUUUUAGAGAACUUAAUAUACAUCCAAAUGCCAUGUUACAAUCAUGAUUAAAAUUAGAGGGCUAUGUAAGAGUUUUUAAAACAUAUUUUAAUUAUAUAUUGUUAUUAUGUAUAUUAUUAUAUGUGUUACAUAUUAUAGAAAGUAAUAAUACAUUACCCAAUCAAGCAUAUGAGAAAAUAGGGGGUACAAUGAUCACAUCUUGUAAUCAAUAUUUCAUAGUACAGAAAAAUAUAAAAUAUAUACUUUAUACUGUGAGAUUUAUCUCUAAGUAAUGAGAUAAUAACGAUUGUAUUUUUGUUUUCCUGAUUUUUAAAUGCUCUGCAAUGACUAUUACUUCAACGUAAUGAAAGAAAGAAAAACAGAAGAAAGAAAGAGAAAAGAAGGAAGGGAAGGAAAAAGGGAGAAAGAAAUACAGUAACUUCCGUUCAUGAUGUGGGGGUCAUUUUUGAAAACAUAUUUCUUGACAUAGCUACUUUGUCAUACUUAUAAUUUCUUUAGGUGGAAAUUUCCACCUUCAGACAUGUUAUUACCAUUAUUCUUACUAUCUGCACUGAAAAUGUCCUCCAGUACACAGAACAAGAUUCUAGAUGCUACAGUAUUACAGUAUGAGGAAAAUCUAGAGCAGUUUGGGUUCCAUUGAAUUUUAAGAUAUAAAAAUGGGAUAUAGGGAAAAUGAUGGAUGUAUACAUGUGCAUGUUUGCAUAUGGUAGACUCCAAUUUAGAGAGAAUGGUUAUGGUACAGAUAUAAAUAGCAUGAUACCCAUUCAUGAGUACAUGACCACAGUCUUAGGGUAACUUGUCCAUUUCUAAAAGAUGAAUGGUGAACUAACAGUACCUAUAUGAACAAGAAAAGUUAUUGUUUCCUAAGAAAUUAUAUUGCUUUAGCACAUAUUUCAGAUACAUUUCUUUUGUAAUGGAAACCUAAAUUGGCUUGGAGUGAGCAAGCCAAAUGGGAGACAUUACUUCUCUGAUGCUACUUGAGGCUUACUUACUUUGGUUUGUGCUCCAUGUAUCUUUCUGGUUUAACCAGGAGCCAGGGUCAGAGGUUUUAGGAUUAACAAAAAACACCAAACAAACAUUAGCCUGAUAAUUAAAUAACAGAUUCAGGUCCUCAAUGUAUAUUUUCUUGAGAAUCAGAGUCUCAAACAUUAAAGUCUGAUUAUUUGGACUUAUCCUAAGAUUUAUUUGCCUCCUACUAGUUGGUUAAAUAUUUUUAAAGUACUCAGACAAAAUCCACAAGAAUUGAGCAUUUUCCUUUUUAGUAGUUAAGUCAUAGCCAUGAGUUCCCUUUUUAAAUGGGAAUAAAGUUUUCUAAAAUGCUUACAUGGAUAAAAAGCUUUAUUAGCUGACCAAGGCUGUAUUUCCAAAGAAUGAGAUUUGACUUUUAAACAGAAUCAACGUGGAUGGGAUUGGGAGUUCACUGUGCUCUUCAGAUAUUAUUAAGCUGGAGGCUCAAAAAUAAAAUGAAAAUCUUUGAAGAACUCUCUCAAGAAAAACAGAAGAUUCUGUUACUUAUAUAAUAUCUUCAGUUUGGCCUGUACCUAAACAAAUGUAUGUGUUUGUGUUAUUCCGAAUCUUAAUUUGGGCACUACUGCAAUUCCCAUUUCCUCCCUUUCCCUCUCAUCCCUCUUCCCUAUCUAUAAUUCAUCUAUUCCUCCCAUGCUCCCCCUCCCUACCCCACUAUGAGUCAGCCUCCUUAUAUCAGAGAAAACAUUCACCAUUUGUUUUUUGGGGAUUGGCUAACUUCACUUAGCAUUAUCUUCUCCAGCACCAUCCAUUUACCUGCAAAUGCCAUGAUCUUAUUCUCUUAUAAUGCUGAGUAAUGUUCCAUUGUGUAUAUAUGCCAUAUUUUUUUAAUCCAUUCAUCCACUGAAGGGCAUCUAGGUCUGCUCCACAGUUUAGCUAUUGUGAAUUGUGUUGCUAUAAACAUCCAUGUGGCUAUGUCCCUGUAGUAUUCUGUUUUUAAUUCCUUUUGUAUAGUUUGAGGAGAGGGAUAGCUGGAUCAAAUGGUGGUUCCAUUCCCAGAUUUCCUAUGAAUCUCCAUACUGCUUUCCAUAUUGGCUAUACCAAUUUGUAGUUCCACCAGCAAUGUAUGAGUGUACCUUUUCCCCCACAUCCUUGCCAACACUUACAGUUGUUUGCCUUCAUAAUAGCUGCCAUUCUGACUGGAGUCAGAUGAUAUCUUAGAGUAGUUUUGAUUUGCAUUUCUCUGAUUGCUAGAGAUGAUGAGCACUUUUUCAUAUAUUUGUUGGUUGAUUGUAUAUCCUCUUCUGAGAAGUGUCUGUUUAGAUCCUUGGCCCAUUUGUUUAUUGGGUUAUUUGUUUUUUCAGUGCUUAGCUUUUUGAGUUCUUAUAUAUUCUAGAGAUUAGUGCUCUAUCUGAUGUGUGAGGGGUAAAAAUUUGCUCCCAGAAUGUAGGCUCUCUGUUCACCUCACAGAUUCUUUCUUUUGCUGAGAAGAGACUUUUUAAUUUGAGUCCAUCCCAUUUAUUGAUUUUUGGUUUUAAUUAUAUUGUUAUAGGUUGUGGCCUAAUCCCACAUGAUGAAGAUUAGGGCCUACUUUUUCUUCUAUUAGACUCAGAGUCUCUGGUUUAAUUCCUAGGUCCUUGAUCCAUUUUGAGUUAAGUUUUGUACAUGGUGAGAGAUAGGGGUUUAAUUUCAUUUUGUUGCAUUUGGAUUUCCAGUUUUUCCAGCACCAUUUGUUGAAGCAAUAGUAACAAAAACAGCAUGGUAUUGGCACCAAAACAGACUGGUAGACCAAUGGUACAGAAUAGAGGACACAGAGACUAACCCACAAAAUUAUAAUUAUCUUAUAUUAGACAAAGGUGCCAAUAACAUGCACUGGAGAAAAGAUAACAUCUUCAACAAAUGGUACUGGGAAAUUCCAGCUAUUUUUAGAAACUGCAUAAAAUUGUAUUUUUAUGGAAUGACCGAAUAUCAUUCUAUGAAAUUUCAUCUUAGUUUAUAAAAAAUAAUUGAAAAAUGGUAGCUUAUGCAUGCAUAGCAUAUUAAUAGCCAAAAUCUGUUUUAAGGAUUAUAUUCUAUCAAGAAGAAAGACAAUCCUAUUUGUUAGUGUAAUUGCCUCCUGCUUGAAAACUAGUAGUUUAUCAUCGGGACAAGUUUCUAUUUAAAUGUAAAGACCUUAAUAGUAAAGAAAAUUAGAUAUAUAAACUCAUUACCAUACAGUGUGUAUAUCUUUCUAUCUAAAUAUACACACAGAUAUGUGUAAAUGUAUAUAUAUAUAUAUUUUUUUUCUAUAUGUAGAGUUUUAUGUGGUUGUGGUAAUACUUCACACAUAGAGGUUUUAUUUAUCCUUUCACUUACAACAUUUUAUAAGCAUUUUUCUUUUAUCCACAAUCUUCAAAUGUGAUAUAAUAUUAUGAUAAACUUUGUAAAGUAUAAAAUACAGAAAUAAAAUAGUUAUUAUAUUUGUGA
Marmota monax (woodchuck) is the source of this 5179-nucleotide long non-coding RNA. RefSeq lists it as uncharacterized. The record is from RefSeq and is a predicted model, not a curated record. The transcript is spliced from 4 exons. NCBI's taxonomy places the organism in Eukaryota, Metazoa, Chordata, Mammalia, Rodentia, Sciuridae.